CAGGUAUCAGCUGAUAGAAAUUCCCCAUCCCUGAAUCCUGAUUGUUAAAUGCUCUAUAUGUCUUGGAUUAAUCUUGAUUUAAUGUUUUGGUAGCUAACCCUAUACCAACCUCUAACCCUAUACCAAACUUACCCCUAACUCUAUGCUUACAUUAACUCUAACUGUACAACUACCCUAACCUCACCCAGCAUUCCUUUACUUUAUACUAACACAAACCUUAAAACUAAAAACACUGUAAGUAACAUUUAUGGAUUCCUUCUGCUAAUGUCAUCACUGGUAUCAACAGAGAAAUUUCCUAGAAAAAUAAGAGCGG
Non-coding RNA from Pelobates cultripes (western spadefoot toad), 313 nucleotides. NCBI's taxonomy places the organism in Eukaryota, Metazoa, Chordata, Amphibia, Anura, Pelobatidae. The record is from the annotation of a GenBank genome assembly.